GCAGACACACUCUGUUCUUUGCUGCUCUCUCCAGUUUGGGACUUUUUCUGUCUGCUACAUGAACAUGCAGAAUGUAACACUUACUGGCUUGUGAAAAGGCUGGUGCUACUAUGUUCUGCUACAGUAAA
Molecule: small nucleolar RNA, 128 nt
Organism: Cheilinus undulatus (humphead wrasse)
Lineage: Eukaryota; Metazoa; Chordata; Actinopteri; Labriformes; Labridae
Product: small nucleolar RNA SNORA77
Exons: 1
Source: RefSeq, a predicted model, not a curated record